UACGGGGGGGGCAAGCGUUGUUCGGAAUUACUGGGCGUAAAGGGUUCGUAGGUGGCUUGCUAAGUCAGACGUGAAAUCCCUCAGCUUAACUGGGGAACUGCGUCUGAUACUGCCGAGCUUGAGUGCAAGAGAGGAACGCGGAAUUCCAGGUGUAGCGGUGAAAUGCGUAGAUAUCUGGAGGAACACCGGUGGCGAAGGCGGCGUUCUGGACUGCAACUGACACUGAUGAACGAAAGCCAGGGGAGCAAACGGG
Molecule: ribosomal RNA, 253 nt
Filed under: uncultured bacterium
Lineage: Bacteria
Description: partial 16S ribosomal RNA
Rfam family: Bacterial small subunit ribosomal RNA
Source: RNAcentral